This is a long non-coding RNA of Aethalodelphis obliquidens (Pacific white-sided dolphin), 5869 nucleotides long. RefSeq lists it as uncharacterized. The record is from RefSeq and is a predicted model, not a curated record. Lineage: Eukaryota; Metazoa; Chordata; Mammalia; Artiodactyla; Delphinidae. The transcript has 4 exons.
CUCACUCUAUCACAGCAGGAUUAAACACAUCUACUUCAAACUUCUAAAGGCUCUCACGACAGCCUCGACCGUUCAGUUGUAUCUGGCUUUCUAUCAGAAGAACAGAACUCACUUCAGCAGACCAGUUCAUAUCAGAUCCUUUAAAGAUCAGUGGUUACUAUGAGAGAGAUUGGUUUCUGCAGAGCUGACCUGAUCUGGGAGCUCAAGAGGAUUUCCCCCCAAAUUUACUGUGGGAAACUGGUCAAGCUCCUGGAGGUAAAUCUUACAAUAUUGUUGGGGUCCCCGUAUGACUGGGUGCCCCUGGAGUUUUUAACUCUCAGAUUUUUUCUCACUCAGCCUCCAGCAAUUCAUUAGUUACAGAUCAGGUAAUUUUCCUACCCAGACGUACUCCUGAGUCCCUGUUCUGGUAAGCAGCAGCUCCCUGUGUUUGCAUGUCUCUCUCUUCAACCUUGGGGGCAGUGAUUAGCCCUGUGUCCUCCCUGCUCUUAAGGAUCCAAGAAGAAUUGUUGAUUUUUCAGUCUGUUCGGCUUUUUACUUGUUGUUAGGACACAGCGGCAACUUUCAGGCACCUUAUAUGCGGAACCAGCUGUACAUCUUAUUAAAUGCCAGUGUCACCGAGAGAGCUUUUUAUUGAAGGCGGAGGAAUUUAAAAUAUACCAAGAGACUCCAGCUACCCAAUGAGUUCUAAUUAUUAAUAUUUCUCUCCAUCUAGGAGGAUUGGAGCAAGUGUGAAGUGCUUGGUGAGAGUGAAGGAUGGGCUGGGGUCUAAGAGAAAGUCUUGCUACAGUCACUAGGCUGCCCAAACAGGGGCUGGCCUUCCUUAAAACUCUACAAUCCUUCUUAGAAAGGCAACAGUCACAAUGAAAGGAUCUAACUUGGCUCAGGCUUCAUCCUCUAUGAGGCAGUAUCAGUAAAGUGGGUGUAUUGCUGGUCAGUAAAGCUGUUCAGAGGAUUUGCUCUGUGUAUGUAACAUGUUAUUUUUUUUCUCCAUAAAUCCCAAGUAGGUAUCAAGUGUCAGUUCUUUCUGUCAGUUCUAACUCACUGUUACUUUUUUGAAUAGGAAGAGAUAGCAUAUGAUGUGUCCUAUAUAUUGAGAAUGUUUAAGGUAACAGGCUAUUCUAUUGUAGGGAAAAAGUCAAAACCACAUUAUAUUUAUAUUUUUAAGUAAAAAUCAGCCAAAGAAAUAAUACAAUAUUUUAGGUUGUUGAUGAUAUCAUAGUGUCUCUUUUUUUUUUUUUUUAAUGUCUGCUGAAGUCCAGUAAAGGAUCUACAAACCUGUGUUGAGAGAGCUGUGUUCUUGUAGAGAACAGAAGAGAUAGAGUCUGAUAAAACGCGCGUGUGCCUCCUAGUAUAAUAGAGGUGCCUUCUGAUUUUGCAGUAUCUCUAGUCAAUGAAACCACAAGGCACAUGGGAGGAAGAGCAGUUUCUAGAAGCAGACCAUGAGUUCCGCUUUGGACAUGUUGCACCAAAUAUGACUGUGGAUGCUUUCAGAGUGAAGACACAUAAUCCCUUUGAGAAUGGAAGACUCAGAAUAGAGAGUUUGAGACACACCUUCUGAAACUGCAGCCUCUUGAGAGACUGAUUCCCAGCAAAGAGUGUUGCUGCUCUGCGUUUCACACUGGAACACAGUGUAGACGACUAACGUUAAUUAGGAUUACAGGGCCAGGGAGGCUUACCACGCUGUGACAGCUCACGAGAAAGAGAAUGCUGCUGCUUCUUUUGGGUGCAAUUCUGAGUGUCAUGUAUGUAUGUAUUAAUCCUUGGGCUCAAGCCAAGUUACAUUGAGGUGAGAUGCAAUCUAUUAUUUUUAGGUCAUAUUGGGUAGGGGCGGAGGCUAUUAUUUUAGGUUGGUGAGAAGGUAGGUUGGGUUAAUUUCAGAUGAUCAAGUUUCCUGUUAUGAGCCUUCCUUCAAAAACUAAUUUUGGAAUGUUAUCAUUUAUAGUUCACGCUUAUGGAGAACUUAAUGUUGGAAGCAUUCCUUAGAUCAAGGGGAUUUCACGCCUGGGUAAUUUUCAAGUUUUAUUGUUUUCCAGCUUACUUGCCUGACUUAGAAUUCCUACUGCUUCUUAAAUUUCACAAAUAAAUGCCUUAAAGAAAAAAGCUUACACACUAAAAACAAACCAGUACUUAACUCCUUCUUCCAAAACCCCACUGUCCUGAGGGAGAUAUACAUAAAGUAAGAAAUAAAGUGGCAAGUUUCCUGUUUCAUGAAUGCCUUGAAUUCUAAUUAUUUCUUAAAGACAGAUUGAAAACAAAGGUUUUUAUGAAUAAUGAUCAUUAAGAUUGUAAUCUCUAAACGCUGGCAUGUAAGUCUCUGAUUUACCAUAUAAGUUCACACUGAUUACCCAAGAUGAUUUCCAGAUGUUUACUCUCUGCAUGUAAUUAAAUUUUGCUAAAAAUUAUAACUGGCUCAGUUGCUUUAAAAAAAGAACUGUCAACAGAAACAUGAAAGAAGUUUUCACUGAGAUAUUUUUCCCUUCACGGUAGUCACUCCUCUCAUGACAGAAAUCUCCUUCCUCAAAAAUCUCUGGCUCACUUAAACCCACUCCUGAUUUUAACCGGAGAAGAGAAAGUUGCUCUAAGACAUGUGACGGAUUGAUCACUUCAAGUCCAUCAUUUGGGAGGAAACUGCCACAGAAUUUGUAUGACAGCAUAGAAAAUUGGCACAAGUAAAUUAUUGAGUCUGUAUUCACAGGCGUAAAAGGGAAUAGAAAUAUAUGACAAUGGGCAGUAAAAUUAAAACUUCAGGGAGAAUCAAAGUAUCAUGGAAAAACAGGUAAGAGCAUUGUCUGUUUAUGUACUGGGAACUGAAAUGAUAAGUUUGGGAAAACCUGUGCAAUGUAUCAGCUAGAAUGUGGGUAUAAUGCACAACAGCAAAUGAAGAGACAGAUGCCACGUGAUGGAAAAGGAACGAAAGUCAGGCAAGAAAAUAGUUCAAAGAUGCAUAUCAGGUAGAAAUCAUUUAAAUAUAUUAGAAAGAAGGAGAUGGUAAACUAAUCAAAUGCAGAGGAAUGAAGCUGAGGGGAAACACAGAGAGAAGAAGAAGGAGGCCAAAUAAUUUGACAAGAGAGGAAGGAUGAAAAGAUAGAAUGAGAGCAACCAUCAGGCAAUGGUUCUUAAUGACCUGUUUCUCAUGAAAAAUGCAUUAUCCUGGAAGGGAAUGAUUUUUCUCCUCCCUCACACUACUUUGAUUUGUGUGUCUACAACACACCGAGCCCACUGGGAGGCAGCCGAUGGAUUCAGAGCCUCCAGAAUGAUCAACAGGAGACUGCCAUUCCAGACACCAAAUGCAGUGUAAAUAAUUACAUAUCAAUGCAAGUCCACUAACGUGGAUGGGGUGUGUACUCUCAGGAUGAAGCAGGCAUCUGCACCGUGACAGAAGUCCGGGGUCUUGACAGAAAUGCAAAACCCCAAAUGAAACACAGUGAUCCAGGGGGAGGAAGACUCAAAAAGGGUAAAUGUAACUUGACCCAGAAGUUCUUAAUCUUGUUCUGAAUAACAGACUUUGCAUAUUUGAUGAAAGUCUCAGGCUUUUACCCCAGAAAACACACAUUUGUGUGUACAAACAAAAUUGUGUUUAUGUCAAAAGGUUUAUAGAUCUCCUGAAGUCUGUGCUCCCCCUACUUUAAGAUCUUAGAGUUCUGAAAUUUUAAUAGAGAACAACGUUUAAUAGGCCACUAUUUAAACUACCUACUGAUUCACUUCAGUUACAACCUUAGGAAUUACUGUAAUUACUGAAUUUAACUAAAGAGUGAGGCACAGAUGUUGUCCCUCUGGGAAAUCUUUAUUCAAACAUGAUUUCUUCAAUUUUCCAGCAGGGCUGGAUUUUUUGUUUAUGUAUUAUUUAUACGUUGCUGUGUUCUAGAAAAAAAUUUUGACUUGUGAAAUGCAUAUAAUACAAAAUAAAAAAAUAAGUACUUGGAGGAAUCGGGUGAAAUAAAAACAUGAGUAAAAAGCCCACAAAAUUCAGAGACAAAAAUUAGCAGAGUAUAUGUCAUGGUAGAUGUUAGUUACAAUUUUGUAACUUUCUGGUAGCCAAAGCUAAGACAAAAACAGGCUUAAUUACAAGACUUAUAACAUUUGAUAAAACAAAAACUAAUUAUCUAUUAGGCUGCAAAUAACAGAAAACACAGCUAAUAAUGCUUUACAUGAAUCAGGGGCUAUUUUUCUCACUAACAGGAAGUCCAGAGGUGGACACUUGUUCAGUCAUGUUAUCAGAGACCCGGGCUUUUUCUAUCUGUCUUCCCUACUGUCCUUAGGGUGUUGAUUUUUAUCACUCUGUAGCCUCACUGCCUCAAGUGGGCUGCUACAACUCCAGACAUCACAUCCAUGACCAAGGUAGAGAGAAGAGGUAAGGACAGGCUAGAGAUCUCUCCUCCCACAUGUAUUUUUCAUCAGGAAAGUAAUUGCCACCCCUUCCUUUUGCCAAUUGCCAUUGCUUCCUUGCAGACUUCCUUCUAUGUUUCAUGGCCACAACUGGAUCAUAUGAAUUCCCCCCACUACAAGAAAGACUGGAAAAGUGAGCAUCUGACUUUUUGGCCUUUACAGAGAAAGGAGGGCAAGCAAGGGCCUUGGGAAUGGCUUUGGGUUAGUGUCUUCUACAGACAAUAUGAACAGAUUUUCCUGAUGUAGAGCAGCCUCACUUCUGGCUGUCCUCAAAAGGAGGAUACUGUGUGAUUCCUCAGAUUAUGCCCUAAACAUCAAUCCAUGCAGAAAAUGCAGCAGCAAGUACUAUCAUGUUCCAUGAGACUUCAUGUUUCUCUCUAUAGGCUGAUGGCUUGGGCUAAGGCACAAAUUUAGAAAAGGGAGGUCUACAAGGAGUCAAAACUCAAGUUCACAGCCCUGUUAUGAUCUCAAGGGCAACAUUUAGCCUAGCUAGUGUAAUGUAUGGGCAGCAAUGGCCUUGUACCACUCCUUUGUAAAUAUUAUUUCUCACAACUGGACUUUGAAUUAGAAUGAGACCACAGGGAGUUAAAGGUUGUAAUCUCCAGCACAAACCUACCUGGAACAUAAAAGCCUACAUCGCUGAUAAGAGCAGACAUAGAUGCUUUAACAACCUGCUAGUGAGAGGAGAGGAUUAAGUGCUCCUUCUACAAAUUCAGAAGCAUAACCAACACGUAUGCCUGGUGGAUAAAUGUUCUCUGACUGGUGAAGAUGAGUCCCAAGAAGAAGAGGUAAUCAUUCUUUCCACUCUAUUCCCUUAGCGCGCAUCUCCAUCUCCAUGAUAGCAUGUGUAGUCCAGAUUUAUGUAGCUCUAAUACUGGUUAUAAACCUACUCAUUUUGUAGCCCAAGACCAUGCUAUUUUUCAUAUAAUAGACAGGUAUGUUCUCAGAAAUAUCUAGAAAAAGUAUUCUUUUAUUGAACAGCGGGUAGAGGUUGCUUAGAUAAUAUCUGGAGAGACAACUUUGCACAAAGAAAUCAAUGACAACUUCCUUCAUGCUCUUUUUAGUAGUGAUGGCUUGAAAUAAGCAUUAUUUGAAUUCUUAUUGCUUAAAGACUGGAAUACUAGAUGCAGUGGGUUAGACACUAGAGGAUAAAAGUUCAAGGGAAGGAAGAUGUAUUUUCCCUUGAAGAACCUGUGAACUAGUUGUGGGGAUGGGCAUAUUGUAUCUGAGAAAGGAAACCAAAACAUUUACAAACGCUGUUGUUUUAAUAAAGGGUAAAUUCGACGUAGGGCAGAAAAAAGGUACAAUUAAAUUAUAAUGCUUUUGUGUCUAAUUCCAUGUCUAAGGUCUUUUGUUUGAUAAAAAUGAUUAAGGCCUAUGACUUGUUUUAUAAUUAGAGGUGUUUCAUAAAUAAAAAGAGUUGGUGAAUAGAGUUACCUGACGUGGAAUUUUAAAAUAUACUGGUGAAAUAUAUUCUUCAUCA